Molecule: ribosomal RNA, 323 nt
Filed under: uncultured soil bacterium
Lineage: Bacteria
Description: bacterial SSU rRNA
Rfam family: Bacterial small subunit ribosomal RNA
Source: RNAcentral
AGAUUGAACGCUGGCGGCAGGCCUAACACAUGCAAGUCGAGCGGUAGAGAGGUGCUUGCAUCUCUUGAGAGCGGCGGACGGGUGAGUAAUGCCUAGGAAUCUGCCUAGUGGUGGGGGAUAACGUUCGGAAACGGACGCUAAUACCGCAUACGUCCUACGGGAGAAAGCGGGGGACCUUCGGGCCUCGCGCCAUUAGAUGAGCCUAGGUCGGAUUAGCUAGUUGGUGAGGUAAUGGCUCACCAAGGCGACGAUCCGUAACUGGUCUGAGAGGAUGAUCAGUCACACUGGAACUGAGACACGGUCCAGACUCCGUACGGGAGCAG